RNAcentral lists this long non-coding RNA (2178 nucleotides) under Mytilus galloprovincialis (Mediterranean mussel). The record is from RNAcentral. Lineage: Eukaryota; Metazoa; Mollusca; Bivalvia; Mytilida; Mytilidae.
UCAUUAAAGUAAUUUACAUUUUUUUUUAUGUUUUUAGAGUUAUCAUAAAUGAGCAAUAAACAGAACGGAAAUCCCUGUAGUCAUUGUAUUAAUUAUGGAUGCACGUUUAUUGAUAUGACGAUAACUUUUCAAUAAGUUAAACAUAAUUUAGUCUCUAUAUGGAUUAAUUUGAAAUAUAGACUCGAACGUAGCAUGAACGCGGAGGAUAUUAAAUCGUUUACAAGUGGGUUUUAUAGCAAACGUAUCAGAAUGAUCAAACCGAUGAUAAUGUUAUUAGGCAUUUUUUUAAUAUUAAACCAAUAAAAGAAUAGUGGAUAAUAGUACGUUUAUAAAAGAAUUACACGCACAUAAGUUUGAUAAUUCAUGGAAUACAGAUAAAUUGUCAACUGAUCAAUUGGGGACGUUGGCACUUUCCUAUCGUAUAGAAAAUAUUCAGAAGUGAACAAUAUAUUUUAAGUUGAUACAUGGAAUAAACCGUAUUUAGAAUCAAACACAUGAGUUCAAACGAUUUCAUCGGUUAUAUUAUCGAAGGCGAUCUGCAUAAUGGAUUGCGUUACAUGUCUAUUGCCGGAUGUGUCCUCUCAUAUAUAACAAUAUUUUACAAUAUCGUAAUCUUGAUCGUUCUUUUCCGUCCGAAUCUCCGUUCUCCGACUACUGUGCUCAUGCAAGGACUCGCCAUUGCUGAUUUACUGACCGGAUUUUGUUCCUAUGGAUUGGAGCCUAUUUUCCAGAUGAAAUAUAUAACAGUUAAUGAUAAUUUGGAUUCCUCAACAUUAACCCUAAAAUAUCCUUAUUGUGCCUUGUAUGUGAACAUUAGUCAAAUGGUAGAUCUAUUUCACUUAGUUUCUGUGCUACUUACUACAUGUUUAGGAAUACAAAAAGUUUUAGCCCUGAAGUUCCCAUUCUGGGUGCGGAAUAAUAUCAAAAUAAACUUUGCAAUGAUAUGCUGCCUUGCGUGUCUUGGGAUAUCGUUUAUAAUUCACAUUCCAAGGCAUUUGGCUGUAGGAUUCACCAACAGACAAAACAUAUCAUAUAAAUAUUUCACACAAAACAACGUUCAAGAAGAAAAAUUUUUGAACACGUGUUCACCUAGAAUUGUGUCAAGACCUGCAUUUUUGUAUGCAGCCAGGUACUAUCCUCUCGUGUCGGCUGUAUUGCUACUUAUUUUAUCUGCGAUAAUGUGUCUUAGUGUCAUUUACAUAGUAUAUCGGCUAUGUCAUAAAACAUUUCGAAAGAAAAAUAUAGUUCAAAGGUCUCGCGAGAAACGUUCGGUAUUAAUGAUUACAGCUGUUCUUAUUAUUUUUCUUAUUUCGGAAAUUCCUAGACUCUCCCUCUAUGGAUACCUAUUUUUCGGUACCUAUCUAGAUAAUAUGAUUGGAGAAGACGAUGCCUUGUCCUUUGUGGUGACGGAUUAUAGAGCAACAUUGUCAGUUUCAAUGAAAGUUGAUGCUGACAUAUCUUUCACUCAAUCUUUGCUCAUAAUAGAAAGUUUAAAACUAUUCAGUCUUAUAGGAUGUAUGUCGAAUUUUGUUAUUUACUUCACUAUGAGCAGACAGCUGAGAACCGAAUUAAAAGUGUGUUUACCGUACAAAAGCAAAUGACAGCAGUACAAAUAUUCCAACACUUUCGUAUUUUAUCACUUAUGUAUAUGUAGUUUUUGGAAAUAUAUUUCUUUAAAGUGUUAAUGUAAGUUUUUUUUUAUACAUAUACAAACUUCGUGUGCAUUUAAAUAUAAGGUUUCUUUAAUACAGGUCAGUUUUAAACACUCGUGCCAUAUUCAGUAACAUAUAUAUCAUUUCUAAGCAGACAAUGUUGUAUUGUAAGUUUAUUCUAAAUUUGAAAAGUUGCUUUACAGAUACAUAUGUCGUGUUCAUUAUUUUUACAAUACGAAGCGAAUUGAUUUGUUUAAUGACAAAACAUACGUAUUGAUGUAAACUAUCUGUCGAUACUGACUCUGUGUGUGCAUGGUGAUAACAUUACUUUCUUUCAUUAAAAUAUAAAAAUACUUAUUCAUUUGUAUUAGUUAUGGUCUACAUAUGAAUAAUAAACAAUCUCGUUAUUUUAGUUUGUUCAAAUAUUCAGAAUCAUUGAUCACAUAGAAAAGGUGCAGAAAGUGAAAUCACACAAAUACUGUACCCCGAGGAAACUUUAGUAUAGUACGAAAUGUAACUAUCAAGU